Molecule: ribosomal RNA, 443 nt
Filed under: uncultured bacterium
Lineage: Bacteria
Description: bacterial SSU rRNA
Rfam family: Bacterial small subunit ribosomal RNA
Source: RNAcentral
AACGCGAAGAACCUUACCUGGGUUUGACAUGCCUCUCUAAACCGGUGAAAGCCGGUGAGUGUAGCAAUACACAAUUGGCACAGGUGCUGCAUGGCUGUCGUCAGCUCGUGUCGUGAGAUGUUCGGUUAAGUCCGGCAACGAGCGCAACCCUCGUCCUUAGUUGCCAGCGGGUAAUGCCGGGGACUCUAGGGAGACAAACCUCUUAUAGAGGUGGGAAGGUGGGGACGACGUCAAGUCAGUAUGGCCCUUACACCCAGGGCUGCACACGUGCUACAAUGCUUGGCACAGAGGGAUGCAAAACCGCGAGGUGGAGCCAAUCCUCAAAACCAAGCUCAGUUCAGAUUGGAGUCUGCAACUCGACUCCAUGAAGCCGGAAUCGCUAGUAAAGGCGUAUCAGCAACGGCGCCUUGAAUACGUUCCCGGGCCUUGUACACACCGACAUA